Molecule: transfer RNA, 56 nt
Filed under: Caenorhabditis sp.
Lineage: Eukaryota; Metazoa; Nematoda; Chromadorea; Rhabditida; Rhabditidae
Description: tRNA-Trp
Source: RNAcentral
ACAGAUUUAAGUUAAUUUAAACUAUUGAUCUUCAAAAUCAAAAAUUUUAUUCUGUA